Molecule: ribosomal RNA, 391 nt
Filed under: uncultured Methanosaeta sp.
Lineage: Archaea; Methanobacteriati; Methanobacteriota; Methanomicrobia; Methanotrichales; Methanotrichaceae
Description: bacterial SSU rRNA
Rfam family: Archaeal small subunit ribosomal RNA
Source: RNAcentral
UGAAGGCCAGGCUGAAGACUUUGCCGGAUUAGCUGAGAGGUGGUGCAUGGCCGUCGUCAGUUCGUACUGUGAAGCAUCCUGUUAAGUCAGGCAACGAGCGAGACCCACGCCCACAGUUGCCAGCGUACUCUCCGGAGUGACGGGUACACUGUGGGGACCGCCGCUGCUAAAGCGGAGGAAGGAAUGGGCAACGGUAGGUCAGUAUGCCCCGAAUAUCCCGGGCUACACGCGAGCUACAAUGGUUGGUACAAUGGGUAUCUACCCCGAAAGGGGACGGAAAUCUCCUAAAACCAAUCUUAGUUCGGAUUGAGGGCUGCAACUCGCCCUCAUGAAGCUGGAAUCCGUAGUAAUCGCGUUUCAACAGAACGCGGUGAAUACGUCCCUGCUCCUU